Molecule: ribosomal RNA, 700 nt
Filed under: uncultured archaeon
Lineage: Archaea
Description: bacterial SSU rRNA
Rfam family: Archaeal small subunit ribosomal RNA
Source: RNAcentral
GGGUACUCUCGGGGUAGGGGUGAAAUCCAAUAAUCCUGAGGGGACCACCUGUGGCGAAAGCGCUUGGCUAAGACGGGUCCGACGGUGAGGAACUAAAGCUAGGGGAGCAAAGCGGAUUAGAUACCCGUGUAGUCCUAGCCGUAAAUAAUGCAGACCAGGUGUUGCGUUCCCUUCGCGGGGAUGCAGUGCCGAAGGGAAGCCGUUAAGUCUGCCAGCUGGGAAGUACGGUCGCAAGGCUGAAACUUAAAGGAAUUGACGGGGGAGCACCACAAGGGGUGGAGUCUGCGGUUUAAUUAGAUCCAACGCUGGAAAUCUCACCGGGGGCGACAGCUGUAUGAAGGUCAGGUUGACGAUCUUACCCGACUCGCUGAGAGGAGGUGCAUGGCCGUCGUCAGUUCGUGCCGUGAGGUGUUCUGUUAAGUCAGACAACGAACGAGACCCACGUCAUCAGUUGCUAAUUCCUUCUCCGGAAGGAAAGUACUCUGAUGGGACCGCUGUUCGUAAAACAGAGGAAGGAGUGGGCAACGGUAGGUCAGUAUGCCCCGAAUCCCCCGGGCUACACGCGGACUACAAUGACUGGAACAAUGGGCUGCGACUCCGUGAGGAGAAGCUAAUCCCUAAAUCCAGCCUAAGUUCGGAUCGAGCGCUGAAACUCGCGCUCGUGAAGCCGGAAUCCGUAGUAAUCGGAGAUUCACUAUAC